GGUGAAAAGCACCCCGGAAGGGGAGUGAAAUAGAACCUGAAACCGUGUGCUUACAAGUAGUCAGAGCCCGUUAAUGGGUGAUGGCGUGCCUUUUGUAGAAUGAACCGGCGAGUUACGAUUUGAUGCAAGGUUAAGCAGUAAAUGUGGAGCCGUAGCGAAAGCGAGUCUGAAUAGGGCGUUUAGUAUUUGGUCGUAGACCCGAAACCAGGUGAUCUACCCUUGGUCAGGUUGAAGUUCAGGUAACACUGAAUGGAGGACCGAACCGACUUACGUUGAAAAGUGAGCGGAUGAACUGAGGGUAGCGGAGAAAUUCCAAUCGAACCUGGAGAUAGCUGGUUCUCUCCGAAAUAGCUUUAGGGCUAGCCUCAAGUGAUGAUUAUUGGAGGUAGAGCACUGUUUGGACGAGGGGCCCCUCUCGGGUUACCGAAUUCAGACAAACUCCGAAUGCCAAUUAAUUUAACUUGGGAGUCAGAACAUGGGUGAUAAGGUCCGUGUUCGAAAGGGAAACAGCCCAGACCACCAGCUAAGGUCCCAAAAUAUAUGUUAAGUGGAAAAGGAUGUGGCGUUGCCCAGACAACUAGGAUGUUGGCUUAGAAGCAGCCAUCAUUUAAAGAGUGCGUAAUAGCUCACUAGUCGAGUGACACUGCGCCGAAAAUGUACCGGGGCUAAACAUAUUACCGAAGCUGUGGAUUGUCCUUUGGACAAUGGUAGGAGAGCGUUCUAAGGGCGUUGAAGCAUGAUCGUAAGGACAUGUGGAGCGCUUAGAAGUGAGAAUGCCGGUGUGAGUAGCGAAAGACGGGUGAGAAUCCCGUCCACCGAUUGACUAAGGUUUCCAGAGGAAGGCUCGUCCGCUCUGGGUUAGUCGGGUCCUAAGCUGAGGCCGACAGGCGUAGGCGAUGGAUAACAGGUUGAUAUUCCUGUACCACCUAUAAUCGUUUUAAUCGAUGGGGGGACGCAGUAGGAUAGGCGAA
Molecule: ribosomal RNA, 971 nt
Filed under: Staphylococcus aureus
Lineage: Bacteria; Bacillati; Bacillota; Bacilli; Caryophanales; Staphylococcaceae
Description: partial 23S ribosomal RNA
Rfam family: Bacterial large subunit ribosomal RNA
Source: RNAcentral